UUGGGCGUAAAGCGCGCGCAGGCGGUCCUUUAAGUCUGAUGUGAAAGCCCACGGCUCAACCCGUGGAGGGUCAUUGGAAACUGGAGGACUUGAGUGCAGAAGAGGAGAGUGGAAUUCCACGUGUAGCGGUGAAAUGCGUAGAGAUGUGGAGGAACACCAGUGGCGAAGGCGACUCUCUGGUCUGUAACUGACGCUGAGGCGCGAAAGCGUGGGUAGCGAACAGGAUUAGAUACCCUGGUAGUCCACGCCGUAAACGAUGAGUGCUAAGUGUUAGAGGGUUUCCGCCCUUUAGUGCUGCAGUUAACGCAUUAAGCACUCCGCCUGGGGAGUACGGCCGCAAGGCUGAAACUCAAAGGAAUUGACGGGGGCCCGCACAAGCGGUGGAGCAUGUGGUUUAAUUCGAAGCAACGCGAAGAACCUUACCAGGUCUUGACAUCCCGCUGACCGGUAUAGAGAUAUACCUUUCCCUUCGGGGACAGCGGUGACAGGUGGUGCAUGGUUGUCGUCAGCUCGUGUCGUGAGAUGUUGGGUUAAGUCCCGCAACGAGCGCAACCCUUAAUCUUAGUUGCCAGCAUUCAGUUGGGCACUCUAAGGUGACUGCCGGUGACAAACCGGAGGAAGGUGGGGAUGACGUCAAAUCAUCAUGCCCCUUAUGACCUGGGCUACACACGUGCUACAAUGGAUGGUACAAAGGGUCGCAAAACCGCGAGGUCAAGCUAAUCCCAUAAAACCAUUCUCAGUUCGGAUUGCAGGCUGCAACUCGCCUGCAUGAAGCCGGAAUCGCUAGUAAUCGUAGAUCAGAAUGCUACGGUGAAUACGUUCCCGGGCCUUGUACACACCGCCCGUCACACCACGAGAGUUUGUAACACCCGAAGUCGGUGGGGUAACCCUUACGGGAGCCAGCCGCCGAAGGUGGGACAGAUGAUUGGGGUGAAGUCGUAACAAGGUAACC
This 952-nucleotide ribosomal RNA is filed under the name uncultured bacterium. Its description in RNAcentral is "bacterial SSU rRNA". It matches the Rfam family "Bacterial small subunit ribosomal RNA", at positions 554 to 1501 of the family's 1533-position model. The record is from RNAcentral.